CAGCAGUCGCCGCGGGAAUACGUAGGUGGCAAGCGUUGUCCGGAAUUAUUGGGCGUAAAGGGCUCGCAGGCGGUUUCUUAAGUCUGAUGUGAAAGCCCCCGGCUCAACCGGGGAGGGUCAUUGGGAACUGGGAAACUUGAGUGCAGAAGAGGAGAGUGGAAUUCCACGUGUAGCGGUGAAAUGCGUAGAGAUGUGGAGGAACACCAGUGGCGAAGGCGACUCUCUGGUCUGUAACUGACGCUGAGGAGCGAAAGCGUGGGGAGCGAACAGGAUUAGAUACCCGCGUAGUCCCUGUCUCUUAUAC
This 304-nucleotide ribosomal RNA is filed under the name uncultured bacterium. RNAcentral describes it as "partial 16S ribosomal RNA". It matches the Rfam family "Bacterial small subunit ribosomal RNA", at positions 509 to 807 of the family's 1533-position model. The record is from RNAcentral.